UACGAAGGGUGCAAGCGUUACUCGGAAUUACUGGGCGUAAAGCGUGCGUAGGUGGUUUGUUAAGUCUGUUGUGAAAGCCCCCGGGCUCAACCUGGGAAUGGCAAUGGAUACUGGCAGGCUAGAGUGCGGUAGAGGGUAGUGGAAUUCCCGGUGUAGCGGUGGAAUGCGCAGAUAUCAGGAGGAACACCAAUAGCGAAGGCAGCUCGCUGGGGACGGUACUGACGCUAAGGCGCGAAAGCGUGGGGAGCAAACAGG
RNAcentral lists this ribosomal RNA (255 nucleotides) under uncultured bacterium. Its description in RNAcentral is "partial 16S ribosomal RNA". It matches the Rfam family "Bacterial small subunit ribosomal RNA", at positions 524 to 776 of the family's 1533-position model. The record is from RNAcentral.